CCUACGGGUGGCAGCAGUGAGGAAUAUUGGUCAAUGGCCGGAAGGCUGAACCAGCCAUGCCGCGUGAAGGUCAGUGCCCUAUGGGCGUUAAACUUCUUUUGUGCGGGAGCAAUAAUGGUCACGUGUGGCCAGACGAGAGUACCGUACGAAUAAGCAUCGGCUAACUCCGUGCCAGCAGCCGCGGUACUACUGGGGAUGCAAGCGUUAUCCGGAUUUAUUGGGUUUAACGGGUGCGUAGGCUGUGAGGUAAGUCAGCGGUGAAAUACCCCCGCUAAACGGGGUGAAGUGCCAUUGAUAAUGCCGUGCUGGAAUGCGGAUGCCGUGGGAGGAAUGUGUGGGGUAGCGGUGAAAUGCAUAGAUAUCACACAGAACACCGAUUGCGAAGGCAUCUCACGAAUCCGCGAUUGACGCUGAUGCACGAAAGCGUGGGUAUCAAACAGGAUUAGAUACCCGAGUAGUC
RNAcentral lists this ribosomal RNA (460 nucleotides) under uncultured bacterium. Its description in RNAcentral is "partial 16S ribosomal RNA". It matches the Rfam family "Bacterial small subunit ribosomal RNA", at positions 338 to 795 of the family's 1533-position model. The record is from RNAcentral.